Molecule: ribosomal RNA, 502 nt
Filed under: uncultured bacterium
Lineage: Bacteria
Description: partial 16S ribosomal RNA
Rfam family: Bacterial small subunit ribosomal RNA
Source: RNAcentral
AUUGAACGCUGGCGGCACGCUUAACACAUGCAAGUCGAGCGGUAACAUGACUAGUAGCAAUACUAGUUGAUGACGAGCGGCGGACGGGUGAGUAACACGUAGGAACUUGCCCAGUAGUGGGGGACAACCAAGGGAAACUUUGGCUAAUACCGCAUAUUCUCGAGAGAGGAAAGCUGCCGCAAGGUGGCGCUAUUGGAGAGGCCUGCGUCCGAUUAGCUAGUUGGUGAGGUAAAGGCCCACCAAGGCGAGGAUCGGUAACUGGUCUGAGAGGACGACCAGUCACACUGGGACUGAGACACGGACCAGACUCCUACGGGAGGCAGCAGUGGGGAAGCUUGGACAAUGGGGGCAACCCUGAUCCAGCGAUGCCGCGUGAGUGAAGAAGGCCUUCGGGUCGUAAAGCUCUUUAGGCUGGGAAGAAGGUUGGUAGUUUAAGAGAUAAUCAAUUUGACUGUACCAGCAGAAUAAGCACCGGCAAACUCUGUGCCAGCCGCCGCGGUAA